GGCGCUAUGGUGCAGUGGUUAUCACGUCUGCUUUUCACUUAGAAGGUCCCCAUUUCGAACCUGGGCAGUGUCA
This 73-nucleotide transfer RNA is filed under the name Hofstenia miamia. Its description in RNAcentral is "tRNA-Glu for anticodon UUC". It matches the Rfam family "tRNA". Rfam says of the family: Transfer RNA (tRNA) molecules are approximately 80 nucleotides in length. Their secondary structure includes four short double-helical elements and three loops (D, anti-codon, and T loops). Lineage: Eukaryota; Metazoa; Xenacoelomorpha; Acoela; Hofsteniidae. The record is from RNAcentral.